Molecule: long non-coding RNA, 239 nt
Organism: Sebastes umbrosus (honeycomb rockfish)
Lineage: Eukaryota; Metazoa; Chordata; Actinopteri; Perciformes; Sebastidae
Exons: 3
Source: RefSeq, a predicted model, not a curated record
AAAGCUAAAGUUAGGCUAUAAACGAACUACACCACGGUUGCAUGACUUCACGUCGCCACCACUAAGCUAAAGGCGGACUAGUGUUCAGCGUGAUGAUGUUUGGUAGUGUCAUUUAGCUACUUGUUAGCAACCGCAUUUUUAAAGACACAUAAAAGCUUCAAAUUUCAGUAGUGGGAUAUCUUCUGCCGUAUUUUACAUCGUAAAAUAAAACGUUAAAAUCUCUUCAGCUUGUGUUAACC